CAAGAGUCACCCUUUAGAUUUCCUGACACUUGUAGCCGAACGCUUUGUAUAGGCGCGAAAUUGAAGCAAACGCGGUGGCACGUUAAGCAACUUUGUUCAUUUCACGGUACGUAGAUGCACGUCGAUACAGAAAAGCGUGAAAGGUUAAAAGGGCGCGGUGCAAAACAGCCACGGAGAUAAUAAUCAUCCGGAGCAUCGAUCGAAUGUCAUCGAGGUCGGAAAUUGCGUGCAACCGUACCGCGCUUCCAUUACGACGCGUCAAGUCUCGCAGCGCGACGUUUCCUCCUUUAUUCGCGUCUUCUUCCUCUAUUUAUUCGCCGAAGCGUUUUCAGAGAGUGGCAUUCAUCGACGUUUCAUUAUGCGUUCACGGAACGUGCAAUCACCGCGGAAUCGUGUACGCACCGCGAUUCAAUGAUUCUAUGGAAAUGACGACGCCCACAGCGGCAAGAACCGCGGUAAUUGCGAGGAGGACAGGUCCAUCGAUCGAACCAGUUAAUAGACCGGAGGCUUGAUUGUUUGGCGACAUAUCUGAAGCGAAAUAGGGGAUGAUAAUGAGGUAAUUCAAGCCUUGAUUGACACGUGCAAUAAAGCAGAAAUCACAAAAUUUACAAAGAAAUUUUUAUAGUAAUUCAUAAAUAUAUAUACUUUUACAAUAUGCAGAAAACACACG
RNAcentral lists this unclassified non-coding RNA (670 nucleotides) under Bombus terrestris (buff-tailed bumblebee). RNAcentral describes it as "misc RNA ENSBTSG00005025850.1". Lineage: Eukaryota; Metazoa; Arthropoda; Insecta; Hymenoptera; Apidae. The record is from RNAcentral.